Molecule: ribosomal RNA, 253 nt
Filed under: uncultured bacterium
Lineage: Bacteria
Description: partial 16S ribosomal RNA
Rfam family: Bacterial small subunit ribosomal RNA
Source: RNAcentral
UACGAAGGGGGCUAGCGUUGUUCGGAAUUACUGGGCGUAAAGCGAACGUAGGCGGUGUUCCAUGUCAGAGGUGAAAGCCUGGGGCUCAACUCCAGAAUUGCCUUUGAAACGGGGACGCUUGAGUCCGAGAGAGGAUGGCGGAAUUCCUAGUGUAGAGGUGAAAUUCGUAGAUAUUAGGAAGAACACCGGUGGCGGAGGCGGCCAUCUGGCUCGGUACUGACGCUCAGGUUCGAAAGCGUGGGAAGCAAACAGG